AAUUUCUGGCUUAGAAAGAUCUUUGGCAAUUGCUAUAUCAAGCUGUUUCUUGAUUGAUAAAUUCUCCAUUUAUGGAAUUUCGUUUUUUAUUUUUCCUAACUUCAUCCUCAGUAUUCGUUUCCAGAUAAUAUACCGCGGUAGACCAGAAAAACCGUGGGGUCAACAGAUUUUCUUUCGGGCGCUUUCGGAUUAUGAAGAAAACAAAGACGGGUGCAAGUACAGCUCUUCGUUCAGUUAUCUUUUUUAUUCGCUGUAGACAAUUCACCGCUCAAAGUACCCUUUAGUGGAUCCAAAUUCCUUACUAAAACUUCCGGGUUGGUUUUGACUGCUGCGCCUGCCGAGAACCUCGACGGCUGCUUUGAUAGGCUUAAGCGAGCCAUGGAUAUUUUGGAGUAAAUGUCUUUAGCUUUCAAAAUUUUUCUACCAUAUCGUGUAGACUACUCCAUCUAGUCUUACAAUCCAAUUUC
Zophobas morio is the source of this 467-nucleotide long non-coding RNA. RefSeq lists it as uncharacterized. The record is from RefSeq and is a predicted model, not a curated record. NCBI's taxonomy places the organism in Eukaryota, Metazoa, Arthropoda, Insecta, Coleoptera, Tenebrionidae. The transcript has 3 exons.